CUUGGACCAGCCUAGAGAAGCAAUGCCCUUCUGUCAUGUCUCUAGACCCAGAAUGAGCCUUUGGGACAGAAACUGAGGAGGAGUAAGUUGGGGUACAAGUAUUAGCCUUGCUCACUCAGCUGGCUAUCCUUGAUAAAACAGCAAAUGGCACUCCUUGGCCUCAUACCCCAGGCAAGAGACACCUGGUCCUUGGAGAACAAGACAGGGUCUCACUGUGUAUCCCUGGUGGACCAGGAAUUUGCUAUGUAGACCAGGAUGGCACUGAACUCACAGAGACCCACCUGUUCCUGCCUUCUGAGUGUUUGUAGUUGCUUGUUCAAUUUCCAAAGCAACCUUAUAAAGUAGCAUUUUUACUUGCCAACAUUUUACAGACAAGACAAUUGAGGAAUAAAG
This 393-nucleotide long non-coding RNA is filed under the name Cricetulus griseus (Chinese hamster). RNAcentral's name for it is "lncRNA (ENSCGRG00015013257.2)". The record is from RNAcentral. Lineage: Eukaryota; Metazoa; Chordata; Mammalia; Rodentia; Cricetidae.